UAUAGAACUGAGCAACAGGUAA
RNAcentral lists this microRNA (22 nucleotides) under Drosophila pseudoobscura. Its description in RNAcentral is "dps-miR-2544-3p". The record is from miRBase by way of RNAcentral. Lineage: Eukaryota; Metazoa; Arthropoda; Insecta; Diptera; Drosophilidae.